GGAGUGGCUCAGCAGCAAAGCAUUUGCUUGGUGUGCAGAAGGUCCCAGGUUCAAUCCCCAGCAUCUCCA
RNAcentral lists this transfer RNA (69 nucleotides) under Sphaerodactylus townsendi. Its description in RNAcentral is "tRNA-Thr". Lineage: Eukaryota; Metazoa; Chordata; Lepidosauria; Squamata; Sphaerodactylidae. The record is from RNAcentral.